This 1421-nucleotide long non-coding RNA is filed under the name Manihot esculenta (cassava). RNAcentral's name for it is "long non-coding RNA (MESC_LNC003691)". Lineage: Eukaryota; Viridiplantae; Streptophyta; Magnoliopsida; Malpighiales; Euphorbiaceae. The record is from RNAcentral.
UCCCCACCAUUUUCUUUGAGUUUUAAGGUUCCACAAAAGUUUUUGAGUGUUUUUAAGCAAGUUUGGAGCUUGGAAGUCUUGGAGCUAAAUCCCUCCAUUUUCCGAGCUAGGGUCGUUCUUCCUCUCGAUCUUCAAGAGGUAAGCUUCGAUCUAUGCUUCCUUUAUGUUUUAUGAAAGUUUUAUGCAAGUUGAUGGGGUAGAAUGCAUGUUUAGGCUUGUUGUUAGGUUUAUGGGUUUAUGUUGUGAUUUGAACAAUGUAUGUUGGAAAUGUGUUGUAGUUGGGGUAUAUUAUAGUUUGAGACCCCUAGGUGUGAAGUAUGAUGUGUAUGCAUGUGUAGAAACAAGUUUAUGCAUGUUUUGAGGCGUUUUGGAGGCUUGGACACAAGGGAGCCAAGUUUCUGCCCUUCGGCAGAAACUCAGGUUCGGCCGCCGAAGUGACUUUCGGCCGCCGAACCCCCUUGUGGAGGCAGUUUCGGCUGCCGAAGCCUGCCCCCGAAACUCAAGUUUCGUCUCUGUCUGGGAGGUUCGGCCGCCGAAAGUGCCGCCGAACCUGCAUGACUUUCGGCUGCAGAGGGACUUUCGGCUGCCGAACCUGCCGCCGAAAGUGCCCUGUUCAGCCAUUUCUUGCAUGUUUUCGUGCGAUGUUUUCAGGAUGUUUUAGGGGGUUUUUGGGGAGUAUUUUAGAGUCAUAUUCAUGUAUGUUUGGUCCCUCAUUUGAGUCCACCUGUGUAGGUUCGGACCCGAGGAACCGAGACCCCCAGCAGUGAGCCAGCUGCUUCAGAGUCUCUUCAGAGCUAGCCAGAGGUGAGUGGAAUAAACUUUAAGUUUAAAGCAAAUUAAUGAAAUGUUUUAGCAUGAUUCACGCAUCAUGAAUGCCAUGAGGUAUAUUAGGUCGUUUGCAUUAGAAUUCACGAAUAUGUUGCAUUGCAUACUUUGUUGUUGAUGUGGAUGAAUGUUGAAUGAUCCAUUAGCCCUUGUAUGUCAUGAUAGCCUAUGUGAGUCCAGGUGUGCCUGCUACGGCUCUACGCCCCUUGCACUAUGACAGAUUAUGGAAGUCCGGGUGUGCCUGCUACGGCUCUACGCCCCCGGCAUGUAUAAGUAAGAAAGAUAGGGGCUAAAUGGUGAUAAGUUCAUCCUUGUUGUGAAAUGUUUGUGUUAUGGCGCAUACAUGAAAGCAUGAUUUAAAUUGAUGUUUUAUUAUUCUGCUCACUAGGCUCUAGUAGCUCACCCCACUCCCUUUAUCCCCAGAGUUGCAGGUACAGGAUAGAUCAGGAAGUCGGCUAGAGUGAAGUUAAGUCAUGUAUGUUGUAAUAGAUAGUAGUGGACAUGAACAUGAUGUAAUGAGUAUUUAUGACUAUGUAAUGUAAUGGAUGAUUUGAUGAUGUAUUGAGGAUUAUAGUAGUGCUUGACCUAGAGGUGUG